CGCGGCCUAUCAGCUUGUUGGCGGGGUAACGGCCCACCAAGGCAACGACGGGUAGCUGGUUUGAGAGAACGAUCAGCCACACUGGAACUGAGACACGGUCCGGACUUCUACGGAAGGCAGCAGUAGGGAAUCUUGCGCAAUGGGCGAAAGCCUGACGCAGCGACGCCGCGUGCGGGAUGACGGCCCUAGUGGUUGUAAACCGCUUUCAGCAGGGACGAAAAUGACGGUACCUGCAGAAGAAGUCCCGGCUAACUACGUGCCAGCAGCCGCGGUAAUACGUAGGGGACAAGCGUUGUCCGGAUUCAUUGGGCGUAAAGAGCUCGUAGGCGGUUCAGUAAGUUGGGUGUGAAAGCUCCGGGCUCAACCCGGAGAGGCCACUCAAUACUGCUGUGACUAGAGUCCAGUAGAGGAGCGUGGAACUCCUGGUGUAGCGGUGAAAUGCGCAGAUAUCAGGAAGAACACCGGCAGCGAAGGCGGCGCUCUGGGCUGGUACUGACGCUGAGGAGCGAAAGCAUGGGUAGCAAACAGGAUUAGAUACCCUGGUAGUCCAUGCCGUAAACGUUGGGCACUAGGUGUGGGGAGGAAUCAACCCUCUCCGUGCCGUAGCUAACGCAUUAAGUGCCCCGCCUGGGGAGUACGG
This 640-nucleotide ribosomal RNA is filed under the name uncultured bacterium. RNAcentral describes it as "bacterial SSU rRNA". It matches the Rfam family "Bacterial small subunit ribosomal RNA", at positions 232 to 885 of the family's 1533-position model. The record is from RNAcentral.